AGAAGAGCUGUCUACUGAAGAGAACGCCACAAGGUCCCCUUCACGUUCAUCACCGCUGACCACAACCACUGCAGUAUCAUCUGCCAACACGCUGGCUGCCGUGGAGUGCAGAUGAUGGUAAUGAGUAUCGGUGAGAAUUUUAUCAAUUGAAAGAUUUUAUUUAUUUCAAAGAACAAAUCUGUAUCUAUAUUGAACUGAAUCGCGAUGACAGGUUCGUAUUUAUAAUGCAAUUCCCAGACUAAAAAAUUCUUAGAAUGUGGAGGAGGCGAAAAACAAUAUCUAAGAUUAAAGUAAUUAUAUUGACGGUGCUUUUUAACAGGCAGGAAGUGAAAGCUUGAAAUAGUUCGAUCGAAAAUUUAGACCGAAUUUAGACCCUGGGGCUGGUUGUUCAAAUUCAAAAGCAGGUUAGGUUAACCCUGGGUUAACAUAAAGUUCAAAGCAAACAUCUCUGCAGCUUGUUUAUAAACCUGGAAACAUUUUUUCAGAAAUCUUGUCUGGAUCAUAAAGGGCCGGUUGUUCAAAGCUGGGUUGGCUUAACCCUAGGUUAACCUAAAAUUCAAAGCAAACUUCCUGACAGCUUGUCUAUAAAUUUGGAAAUAUUUCUUCAGACAUCUUGUUUGGAUCGAUAGGAGUUUUCUCCUCUGAGGUUUUGAAAUAAACAGACGUGCAGAACAGGUGGGAAAUUUGUCUGAGCAUGCGCGAGCAAAAUGAGUCACGCAAUUGAGUGGAAUACACGCAACGCGUGUUUACAAAAAGGCACAAUCGUGUAAAUAUUGCCAAAUGUUUGUACAAAAUAAAUGACUGUUUUAUGUUGAAAAUGGACAUGAUCUAAAUUAAUCAUACAGAAUUUUUUAGUGACGUUCUAUUUCAGUACCCUGCCAUUGUCUCUGGUGGGCUGUCCGUGUGCAUUCGAUCUGAAACAGUUGCUACUUUGCUGUCGAAAAAUUUCGAAUGUUUACAUGAAAAUAGAGGCAAGUAAUGCAUUUUACAACCUCGUAAACUGUAUGAGCCCCUAUUUUUACGCUUAUACCUAAGAUAUCAAAUAAAAAUACAUGAAACAGAGAACAUUUUUAGAAAGUUUUAUCGUGAGGCCACGGCCAGUUUUUAAAAUAUCUUUAUUUCUGUUCCGG
Paramuricea clavata is the source of this 1130-nucleotide non-coding RNA. The record is from the annotation of a GenBank genome assembly. Lineage: Eukaryota; Metazoa; Cnidaria; Anthozoa; Malacalcyonacea; Plexauridae.